RNAcentral lists this unclassified non-coding RNA (275 nucleotides) under Pasteurella multocida. RNAcentral describes it as "partial contains 16S ribosomal RNA and 16S-23S ribosomal RNA intergenic spacer". The stretch from base 140 to 212 matches the Rfam family "tRNA". The record is from RNAcentral. Lineage: Bacteria; Pseudomonadati; Pseudomonadota; Gammaproteobacteria; Pasteurellales; Pasteurellaceae.
GUAACAAGGUAACCGUAGGGGAACCUGCGGUUGGAUCACCUCCUUACCUAAAAUGGAACGACUGCAAGUGUUCACACAGAUUGUUUGGUAGAUUGUAUGAAUGAAACAUAUGGCAAAGUGGAGAGCAUCUUUACAUGUUGUCCCCAUCGUCUAGAGGCCUAGGACAUCGCCCUUUCACGGCGGUAACCGGGGUUCGAAUCCCCGUGGGGACGCCAUUUAAAGAUGACUUUUGUUGUCUUUAUUGUUCUUUAAAAAAUUGCGGGGUUCGAAUCCCC